AACUUUACCUGGCAGGGGUGAUACCAUCAUCACAAAGGUGAUUUGCUCAGGGCAAGACUUAUCCAUUGCACUCCAGAUAUACUGACUCCUGUGAUUUCCCCAAGUGAGGGAAACUUGACUGCACAAUUUGUGGUAGUGGGGGACUGUGCUCAUGCUCACCCUUG
Small nuclear RNA from Mesocricetus auratus (golden hamster), 164 nucleotides. Its record names the gene U1. It matches the Rfam family "U1 spliceosomal RNA". Rfam says of the family: U1 is a small nuclear RNA (snRNA) component of the spliceosome (involved in pre-mRNA splicing). Its 5' end forms complementary base pairs with the 5' splice junction, thus defining the 5' donor site of an intron. The record is from Ensembl. NCBI's taxonomy places the organism in Eukaryota, Metazoa, Chordata, Mammalia, Rodentia, Cricetidae.